CCACCUCCCAGACAGGUCUCCGCCGCUACAUCAUCUCGCAAACCGAGCCCCCCUGGUGUCGCAUCUUGUCGAGCUCACUGCCUUGCCGUGGUUCCAGUGGGGGACGGGCAUGCUCAUACACAGGAGGAUGGAUGCCCUGGUCUGGUACGACCAGGAUGGUAUCGGUGCUUCGGCCAACUCCAUCAAUCUGCUUAGUAAAUGCCCACUCCUAAAUCCGUUUGAAGUUUUGGUUAUGAUCGCCAUGCUCUUCUCAAUUUUCAAAACUUUAAGAGUUCAAAGUACACAAGAACAUAAGUCCCCUAUGCUUUGCGUCAGAUAUCUGAUAUUUGUGAGGGGAACUUCAAUUUUCUUCAGUUCAACUUUUGAAUGUGUUUCAGUUCGUCUACUUCCCAGUCGUCCUAUGUCAAUCAAAAAAAGCAGCAGUUUAGCACGAAAAAUAGAGCCUCUUCUCUUCCCAGUACACAACACAGAAGGUAUUUGUCUCCAACUUACAUUAAGAGUUCAAAGUACACAAAGGAAAAAGGUUCAAUUUUCAAAACUUUAAGAGUUCAAAGUACACAAGAACAUAAGUCCACUAUGCUUUGCAUCAGAUAUCUGAUAUUUGUGAGGGGAAAUUCAAUUUUCUUUAGUUCAACUUUUGAAUGUGUUUCAGUUCGUCUACUUCCCAGUCGUCCUGUGUUAGCUAGAUCAGUACUAGUGCUCACCAGUACGACAAGUAGCAGUACUGAUUAGUACGACCUACACAAAUACUAUUACUGAUCAGUAAUAUUCUUAAUGUUAAAAAGUAACAUCCAUAUAGAAAAAUUGCUUCUAUUCUAACACACAAUUUUUUGGAAAAAAGAGCACUAGUACUGAUGAGUCGUACCGACAAGGAUGCCGUCUACAAUUCUAAAAUUAUUGUUGAGUCGUACUAGUACUAUUACUGAUGAAAAUGGGAAGCAAGUGUCACAUGAAUCCUCAAUUGAAUGGGAAGCAAGGUGAUCCUCGCUCCUUCAACUCCACUUCGCCAGUGCCCGUCAGUCUGCGGGAGUAGGGGCGGCGUGCUCGUCAACAAACAAGAACAGAAGGUAUAUUCUUGGAAAACUUAAAAUUAUGUUCACAUUUGGGCAACAGUAGUUAUAGCUUCUCUCAAAGUUCAAAAUGAAAGAUAUUCAGUUCAACUUGUUCUAGCAAAACAUGUGUGGGACCUUGGCAGCAUGUCAGACACACUAUCUAGUGCAGAAAAAAUGUUCGGCGUAGUUCAGCGCACCGCCGCCGCCUACGCUCUGCCUCCAAGUGCCGCUGGUCUAUGAGUUCAACAUGUAUAACCCUAUAAGUUCAUAGAAAAAUAGAAAACAAGAUAAACAAAAAUAAUGAUACACAAAACCCAUGGAAUUCAUUGGGAAAAGAUAACAAGUUCUAAGGAAAUAAAUGUAGAAGUUCAUAUUUCAAAAUAAAUGAAGUAUUUGGGAAGUAAAAAUGAAGUAUUUCAAAGUGUAGAAAUCUUUUUAGGUUUCUUUGGGAAUUUCUAAUGUUACUACACAUGAACUUGCUUGGUUACACAAAUAUGAAACCGAUUGUGCAAGUCACUUAGAAUGUGUUUGAACUUGUUAUGGGAACUCAUGACUUGUUAUGAUUAAAUGCAGGGAGCAACUGGCGUCGAAUGGGCCCCUGGGAGCUAGUCCAACCCGCUCGCAGACUGGAGGGCAUGUUGGUUUAUUUCCAAUGAAGCCCUAUGUACAAUCAGUCUGUUCGUUUGAUAAGAAAGGAGACAACAUAGAAGUUAUGGUUGAAGCAAGUCCCUCCAUCCAGUUAUGUCCGAUUUUUGUGAUAGUAGUUCAAAAUGAGGGAUAUAUUGUAUAAACUUUUUUGGACUUGUGCCCAGGCUGCUUCUGAACAACUCCAAUGCUUUAUUGGCCUUAGUACUACAGUUUGGUAACUUUGAACUGAGAACUCUAUGAACUCUUGGACAUGUUCAUAAAGUAUUCCUGGACUAAGAACUCGAUGAACUCCUAGACCUAUUCAUAAAGUAUUGUUGGAGAACUCUCAGUAGUUCUAGUAUUAUAGUGUGUGUUUUGAACUAAGAGAUAUACUCUAUGAACUUUCUCUACUCUUGAAGCAUUUUGUUCUCAUAUAUAAAAUCAAGUGCAUAUAUGAAAUCUUGAACAAAAUGCUCUAUGGACUCUUGCAUUGUUGGAGAACUGUUGUUUGGUACCUAAUGGAAUUUCCACACGAAGCAUUUUGUUCUCAGUAUUUUGGUGAAAGUUUCCUUCCUAUUGCAUAGCUGCUGCAGUAGACCUUCUAUGCAUGGCAAUGUAAA
RNAcentral lists this long non-coding RNA (2299 nucleotides) under Triticum aestivum (bread wheat). Its description in RNAcentral is "long non-coding RNA (TAES_LNC007010)". The record is from RNAcentral. Lineage: Eukaryota; Viridiplantae; Streptophyta; Magnoliopsida; Poales; Poaceae.